This 349-nucleotide long non-coding RNA is filed under the name Fukomys damarensis (Damara mole-rat). Its description in RNAcentral is "lncRNA (ENSFDAG00000024957.1)". Lineage: Eukaryota; Metazoa; Chordata; Mammalia; Rodentia; Bathyergidae. The record is from RNAcentral.
CGGGGGGGUCGGAAGGGAGCCGCCAAGUCAUCACUUCUAUAAAUGUGUCCGUUGAAACUACAAAGGUGGAGACGCAUACCACCCACACUGUCAACUCUGGAUGGGAGGCCUUCUAAACGCCUUGAAGAGAUGCAGAUUGACACCCAUAGAAACAGCCAAUUUUAGCAUCAGACUAGAGGCUUAUCCUCCACGGGUUUCCUCUAAGAGGGAAAAGGGAAACACGGAGAGGACUGGAGGAGCCAGCGAGGAUGUCCCCUUGGCGGAGAUUAUAAAUCAUACCCCUCAACACCUCACAGCUAGACAGACUCACUGCCUAUGUGGAUGGUUUACGGUUUCAUACUUUGAGUAG